AAGGACACUAAAAAUACUGUAUUUGCAUACGAUAUUAACAAUAAUGAAUGCAAAACCCUGCCGCCACUGCCAUUUCCUAUCUCUGAGAUGGCUACUGUUAGUUAUAAAGGUAAUAUAAUUUUGAUCGGAGGUUAUAACGAGAAAGGCAAAACAUUGAACACAGUAUUCAUGUACGAAGUGAAAACAGG
Dendronephthya gigantea is the source of this 188-nucleotide long non-coding RNA. RefSeq lists it as uncharacterized. The record is from RefSeq and is a predicted model, not a curated record. The transcript has 2 exons. Lineage: Eukaryota; Metazoa; Cnidaria; Anthozoa; Malacalcyonacea; Nephtheidae.